RNAcentral lists this long non-coding RNA (319 nucleotides) under Mytilus galloprovincialis (Mediterranean mussel). The record is from RNAcentral. Lineage: Eukaryota; Metazoa; Mollusca; Bivalvia; Mytilida; Mytilidae.
CUAUUUUGUAUUUUAGCCGGAAAAAACGUACGGUGACCCUAUCUUUUCUUUUGAUAUUCUCAAAGCAUUGUCUAAAAGCUAUCUUUUCCUUCAGUAUUUAACAAUUCUAUCAUUUUGUUUAGUUUCUAAUCACAAAAUGGUGUUUUUUCCUGUAUAAUCCAUACAAAAUGUGUCAUUUUGUCACGUCCUGUAGCUUGAGAAAAUGCGCGGUGACCUAUCAUUUUUAUUAUAUUUUACGACAUAUAUCAAUAGAUACUACGUUUUGGCAAAGUAUAAACAAAUUCUAUCAUUUUUGUUUUAGACUCCCAUACCACCUUAA